UUAAGGCUGUUUGUUUUAAGAAAACAAUCUUUGUGCAAAGUUGUGAUUGUUGAUUGAUGGUUCCUAUGUGAUCAUCCAUGUAUUGUGUUAUGUGGAAUACUGGAAUAAUAAUAUACAUAUUAGUACCUCUGACCAUCAUAGCAUUGUGUUAUGUUCUAGCCGACCUCUUGGAUUUCAAAAGAUUGUAGUUCUUCAAAGAUUCUCACUUCCACGCGAAUGUAUGUAUACUUUGUCUCUUUUUAGCACCUUUCACCGUCAUAGCAUCAUGCCAAUGGAUUGGUUAGUUUGGAGGUCCAUGUAAGAUAUAAUCCUGCCAUCUCUGACAACCUCUCAUUUUAUGCUUUAUUUAAUGCUGCUUACACCCUCUCAUAAUGUGAUUAUUUCUAAUUUCGUCUAGCUUUGUAUGAUGAAACAUAUUUCCUAACAUCCGUAUUUUGACAGCAUGCAUUUUGUGGAUAUGUUAAGACCCAACAUUCACUUGUUAGGAAAGAUGUAAUAGAGUGCUCUCCGUAGGUGCUUUCUGCUCUGUUUGUACUCUUGUGUACCUUCUUGGUACACUUUUAUUAAUAAUACUUUACCUGAUUAAAAAAAAGGACUCAACACACUUCCAGUUCUAUGUAACCUUAUUGGUCUUAGAAUUGUUCUAUAGAACUUUUUUCACGUUGGUAGGUAUAUUCAUGUUGUAUCUCAUACUUGUAGGACUCCUCCACUACAACCAUCAUAUUUUACUCCAAUAUGUUACAUAUUCAUCUAUCAUACCAUUCUUUUAAAAU
This 773-nucleotide long non-coding RNA is filed under the name Nicotiana benthamiana. Its description in RNAcentral is "long non-coding RNA (NBEN_LNC032985)". Lineage: Eukaryota; Viridiplantae; Streptophyta; Magnoliopsida; Solanales; Solanaceae. The record is from RNAcentral.